RNAcentral lists this ribosomal RNA (440 nucleotides) under uncultured bacterium. Its description in RNAcentral is "bacterial SSU rRNA". It matches the Rfam family "Bacterial small subunit ribosomal RNA", at positions 338 to 795 of the family's 1533-position model. The record is from RNAcentral.
CCUACGGGUGGCACCAGUGGGGGAUAUUGGUCAAUGGGGGAAACCCUGAACCAGCGAUGCCGCGUGAGGGAAGAAGGUUUUCGGAUUGUAAACCUCUGUCAUCGGGGAAGAUAAUGACGGUACCCGAGAAGGAAGCCACGGCUAACUACGUGCCAGCAGCCGCGGUAAUACGUAGGUGGCGAGCGUUGUCCGGAAUUACUGGGUGUAAAGGGAGUGUAGGCGGGACUUCAAGUCAGGUGUGAAAUCUAUGGGCUCAACCCAUAGCGUGCACUUGAAACUGUAGUUCUUGAGUGAAGUAGAGGCAAGCGGAAUUCCUAGUGUAGCGGUAAAAUGCGUAGAUAUUAGGAGGAACACCAGUGGCGAAGGCGGCUUGCUGGGCUUUUACUGACGCUGAGGCUCGAAAGCGUGGGGAGCAAACAGGAUUAGAUACCCUUGUAGUC